AAUGCCAGGAAAACACAGGUGGCCACGGAAGGAAGCUCCUGGACGGGUAGCGGUUAACAAAGGGCUAAGAGUUACAAGUUUACUAGAACCCGGAAGCUUAGAGGAGGAGCCUGGGAGAGGUGGAACUCAGACCGCGGAGGAAGGAGUGCUGGAGCGUUGGUGGUGGUAUCUUUAAGGGGCACAAUGGAGACUAGUUGUAGGGAGGGUUCAAGCUGGAAACUCGAACCUAGCGCGGCGCCUGAGGCCGCCGGGAACUGGGUAGGGGGGAAGGGUAGCGGGGCCGGGGGUGGGGAGAGCUGUUGCCACCACUACACUCUGGCGUGGGUCGCAAGUCCAUUCCCGCUUCCCCCGCCCACUUUGCAGGUUUCCUCUAGCACCCCCUGUUGGCGGACUUUAACAAGGAGCCAGCUGGCAAAGAGAACUGCAGCUGCAAGGAGGCCAGUCCCGGCAGCUACGGGAAACGAGCACAGGUUUCUAGUUUGGGGCUCUUACACAUAAUGCUGUUACGAGCAUUCUUGUGUACUCGUAUUUUGGGUGCAUCGUGAAGUCUCUAGCCUAUUUACAGUUGGAUGGUCCGGCUUUUUCUUAUUGCUCUGUGGGGAUUUUUAAUAUACUCUUGAUGAUGAAAUUUGAAGUGGGGUUCGUGAGCAAACGGCUAAGAUAGAAUUCUUGAGAUGUCUUUAGGGCAAAAAGGUGAUUUUAUUAAAGCACGGGGACAGGACCCAUGGGCAGAAAUAGCUGCCCUGGGGUUGUGAGGAGCGACUGGUUAUGUAGUUUUAGGUUUGGGAGUGGGGUAGAGAUAAAGUUAGUUUCCAAGGAAUUUCUGGACGCUGAAAGCAGGGUCUCACAGGACCCUGAAGAUUUAGCUAUUGUCAAGAUAAGGUUGCUUUUAGUUUUUUAAGGGAGUGUAAACAUUAAGGCAUUAAGGCAGCCAUACACGUCUUGGAAAGUAUUACACGCUGCAUGCAGGUCUCUGAUUUCUAUCAGUGGGCUCCAGGCUGUAAGAGAAUUUAAUUUCAACUACGUUUUUCUUGACUUUGUUUCUCUCAUCAUUGGUAUAAACCCUUUUGAUUAUAUGCAUUGCAAAUAUCCGCUCCCAGUCUGUGAACUUGUCUUUUUCACUCUCUGAACUGGUGUCUUGUGAUGAAUAGAUGUUCUUAAGUUUAUGUGGUACAACUUUACAUUUUUUCCUUUAGGGUUAGGCUGUUUUUUCUUUAAACAGUAUCUCCUUAUUCCAGAUCCAUGAAUAUAGUCUCCAAAGUCUUCUUUUUCUAUUUUUCAUCUCUUUUCUUUGUCCGUAUGUACUGAAUUAUGAGUAGUUUCUUCAUAUGUAUUUUCUAAUUUACUUGUUCUGUUUUCAGCAGUUUCUAAUCAUCUGCUGGGUUUCUAAUUAAAAUAUUGUAUUUUUAAAAAAAUAAAAUGAAAUAUUAUAUUUUUAAUUGCGACAAAUUAUGAUUUUCCCCAAUUUUGCCUGUUCAUUUUUAGUUUGUUGUUCCUGGAUUGUCUUUUCAAAAUACUCGUUAUUUCUUUAAAUUUUUUUUUUAACGUUUAUUUAUUUUUGAGACAGAGAGAGACACAGCAUGAACGGGGGAGGGGCAGAGAGAGAGGGAGACACAGAAUCGGAAGCAAGCUCCAGGCUCUGAGCCAUCAGCCCAGAGCCCGAUGCGGGGCUCGAACUCGCGGACCGCAAGAUCGUGACCUGAGCUGAAGUCGGACGCUUAACCGACUGGGCCACCCAGGCACCCCUCGUUAUUUCUUUAAACACAGGAAGCAUGUCUAAUGGGUAUGAUGUACCUAAACAUUAUAGUAUCUUUAGUCAUUGCAAAUGUGAUUCUACAGUUCAGUGUUUCUGCCAUCAUUGGCUUAUGGGGGCUUAUGUUUCUUUCAGAUGUUUAUAACUGCUAUGCGCCCAAGUUUGUUAGAAUUUUAUUCAUGGGAAUCCUUUGAAGGCUAGACUUAAAGGAUAUUCUUCCACAGAGGAAUUGUACUUGCUUGUGCCUAGAAACACUGCUAAAUUGAGACUCAUGAAAAUUUUUGGCAUUUUUUGCCCCCAAAGUUUGAGGGCUUAGAAAUCUCUGGGAAGGGGUGCCUGGGUGGCUCAGUCAGUUGAGCGGGCAACUCUUGAUUUUGGCCCAGGUCAUGAUCUCACCGUUCGUAGGUUCGAGCCCCACCUCGAGCUCUGAGAUGACAGUGAAGAGCCUGCUUGGGAUUCUCUCCCUCUCUCUGUCUCUCCCUCUGUUCCUCCCCCACUCGCUUGUGCGCACCUUUCUC
Molecule: long non-coding RNA, 2271 nt
Organism: Neofelis nebulosa (Clouded leopard)
Lineage: Eukaryota; Metazoa; Chordata; Mammalia; Carnivora; Felidae
Exons: 2
Source: RefSeq, a predicted model, not a curated record